AAGGGCACCACAAGAACGCGUGGAGCAUGUGGCUUAAUUUGACUCAACGCGAGAAAUCUUACCGGGUCCAAACACACUGAGGAUUGACAGUGAAAGAGAUGUUUGUUCAUUCUGUAAGCCACAAAGUGAAUGAAUAUAGAAAGUUGCUAGUACUUUCAUGAUUAUGUGAAAGGUGGUGCAUGGCCGUUUGUAGUUCGUGGAGUGAUCUGUCUGCUUAAUUGCGUUUCAGAAUAGACUCAAGAUAUACCGCGUAAUUUUGAGCUUUGAGUAGAGACACGCCGAUUUGUAGUUGUCGGGUGACGCGUUAUGCAUGCUACUAUGUGCUGGUGCAUAGUAGGUGUAUGUGUGUGUGUGUUAGUACAAGGGUAACACACGAGGAGAUGUUGUUUAGUUCAGACAGAAGACGUUAUGCACCUUCUAGUCUUGAAAGCAACGAACGUGACCGUAUCUUCUUAUUUCCUCAAAGGGCGCGCGCUUGCAAGUGUUGCGAAAGAGGUUUCAGAAAACUAGAAGAACCGCUGAGACUCAUUCAACCAGAGGAAGGUUACGGCAAUAACAGGUCUGUGAUGCCCUUCGAUGUUCCGGGCCGCACAUGUGCUACAAUGAUUAUUGCAGUAAGCAUCUGAAUCAAUGACACUGUGCUUACUGUUGUUGGAGUUGUUGACCAUCCAACUGUAAGAGGAGUAAGAUACAGUCGACCAUUCUGUAUCGAGAGUAUACGGGAAAUCAAUUGGAAGUAAUGAUGACCUUUGAUUCGAGCUGUUGUUACAGGGCAACAGUUCGAUUUUGAACAGGCACACAAUAUGUCUCUUCUUAUCCCAAAUUUCGAAGUUUUAGCAGCUUCUUAGUUUGUGUGUUAAGUUGGUUCUCUGGGCAUGUGCUUUUGUUAACUCAAGGCGGGGACAGACCAUUGUUAAUUGUUGGUCUCGGUCUAACAAGGAAUGCCUUGUACGGGUCUUGGUUCAACAAACCAC
Molecule: ribosomal RNA, 974 nt
Filed under: Monothalamids sp.
Lineage: Eukaryota; Foraminifera
Description: partial small subunit ribosomal RNA
Rfam family: Eukaryotic small subunit ribosomal RNA
Source: RNAcentral